UACGGAGGGGGCUAGCGUUGUUCGGAAUUACUGGGCGUAAAGCGCGCGUAGGCGGACCUGCAAGUCGGGGGUGAAAGCCCGAGGCUCAACCUCGGAACUGCCUUCGAUACUGCGGGUCUCGAGUCCGGGAGAGGUGAGUGGAAUUCCUUAGUGUAGAGGUGAAAUUCGUAGAUAUUAGGAAGAACACCAGUGGCGAAGGCGGCUCACUGGCCCGGUACUGGACGCUGAGGUGGCGAAAAGC
RNAcentral lists this ribosomal RNA (241 nucleotides) under uncultured bacterium. Its description in RNAcentral is "partial 16S ribosomal RNA". It matches the Rfam family "Bacterial small subunit ribosomal RNA", at positions 524 to 761 of the family's 1533-position model. The record is from RNAcentral.